This 70-nucleotide ribosomal RNA is filed under the name Urtica thunbergiana. RNAcentral's name for it is "partial 18S rRNA". The record is from RNAcentral. Lineage: Eukaryota; Viridiplantae; Streptophyta; Magnoliopsida; Rosales; Urticaceae.
CUUCCGUAGGGGAACCUGCGGAAGGAUCAUUGUUGAACCUCUGCUCAUGCAAAUAUGACCCGCGAAUAAG